Molecule: small nuclear RNA, 165 nt
Organism: Mastomys coucha (southern multimammate mouse)
Lineage: Eukaryota; Metazoa; Chordata; Mammalia; Rodentia; Muridae
Product: U1 spliceosomal RNA
Exons: 1
Source: RefSeq, a predicted model, not a curated record
AUGUUUAGCUGACAGAGAGAUACCAAGGUCAUAAAGGGUGGUUUUCCCAGGGUGAGACUAAUUCACUGGACUAAUAUUCAGACCUCUGUCAUUCCCCAAAUGAGGAAAACUUUUGUUUGUAUCAUUUGCUGUAGUAGGGGGACUGUGUUCAUGUCUUAUCCCAUA